GCUGUUUUCAUCGGAGGAAUGUUGGAGGGUAUGGAGUUAUGUGACCCCUGAGCCAAGGAGAUGAGUAAGCAUACACCCUUUAGAAGACAUCUGAAGGCAGCCCUGUAUAGAGAAGGGUUUUUUUAUGUAAAUGCUUUAUUGUGUUUUUAUAUAUGUUGGAAGCUGGGACAACCCAGUCAGUUGGGGGGGGGGGAGAAGAAGAAGAAGAAGAAGAAGAAGAAGAAGAAGAAGAAGAAGAAGAAGAAGAAGAAGAAGAAUGGAAUAGGACAUCCCUAUUUUAAUCAGAGAAAUGAUGUUUGAGUGUAAUGGUUACAUGCACUGUUAAUGUCACCUGAGAAUGAGGAUGAAGAAUGCAGUGGGGAACUGAAGGAGGGCCAACUCGUGCUUAAUCAAUCUGGGAAGACAGGGGCUCUUUCGGUGGGUGUUUCUCAUGUCCAGAAAAUAUGCAAGUCACCUGCUCUGGAUGAGGUUGUGUACCCUUUAAAGAAAUAAUUGUGUAGUUCAUGUUUCUCACAAGAAACCCAUGUUUUCUCUUUGGCUAGGAGUGCCUUUUACAAGCUUUGCCUGGUCCAAAAGCUUCAGUCAUUCCUAAACAGGGACAGUCUGACCAUAAUAGACCUUGAGGCUGGAUUACUGCAAUGCACUCUAUAUGGGGCUGUAUUUUGGCCUAGCUCAGAAGCUCCAGCUGGUUCAGAACAGUGGCAUAGCAUGGGGGGCAUGGGGCAGUUGCCCUGGGCACAAAAUUGUUAGGGGGCGCAAAAUUUCAACACUCAGUGCUGCCUCAAUACAGCUGCAUGCUUCUGCCACUGGGCUCUAUUGAAAACAGAUUCUCCAUGCAAACCAGAAAGUGACCUCUCCAGAGAACGGAAUGACUCUUAUUUUCUUAUUUCUGUGGCUGCAAUCUCCUGGGUGACAUGGAUGUCAUUAGACAGUUGGAUGCUCAUGUGUACUCUGUCCAUUUCCCUCCCUCCAACCCACCCCCUCUGCACGGCCCCAGGCAUUGGCAGUCCAUGCUAUUCCACUGGUGCAGAAUGUAGCAGCUACACUGCUGAUGGGGGAACAAGGCCAACAGCAUAUUGCACUGGCUGCCCAUGUACUACUGAGCCAGUUUCAAUGUCCUUGUUUUAAUUUACAAAAGCCUGAACAAUUUAGGUUCAUGGUACCUUUGGGGCCACCUGAAGCCUUAAAUCCCAGUUUAGUCAUUGAGAUUAUUUGAAGAAGAGUUACUGGCUAGACUCAUUUGAAAGGAUUUUAAAUUUUAACUCACAAUCAUGGAAUGAUGAAACUUCCAGGUCAUGGAAUUUUUAGGAAACUAAGAUGGCAACUGCCAGGGGUCAUAGCAGGAGUAAAGCUUUGCUUUAAUUUUGGGAGAUCAGCCAUCACUCUAAUGUGUCAGUCAUUCUGGAGUGAUGAUUUAAAUUGGGUAAUUAUGUUAACAAUGAAUAAGUUCAACAUUUAUUUUCUGAGUAGGGAAGAGUGGAUUUCAGCCAAGUAAGAUUGCUUAGGGUCAGGCAUAUGUAUAUAUUUGUUGUGCUACAUCUUUCAAAGGUAUUUUAGUGCAAAAGGUUCUCUUCAGAUUCUGGAGGUGCACCAAGAUGUAGCAAGCCCCACUGAGAUCAGUGGUGGGGAUUUGUUAGCAAUUAUGCCAGUUUAAAUGUUACUAUAGCAAUCACCAUGGUAAUGUGUUUAAUUUGUUAUGCAGAGUCAUACACAAGCAUGAUACAGAGUUCACUCUAACCUCUAGCAACUUUAAAACAGAGCAUGCACAAUCCCUUGUCACCCUCACAGUCAGCUGACAAUGAAAACGAACCACAUUCUACUGCCUGUUGUUUAACUCUGCAGCAUGCUUUAGAGCUCAGCAUCUUGUCACUGCGGGAAGCCACUGAGCUGUUUCCCUAUAUUUUGCUGAACUGUUCUCUUGCUUUUCUAAUGAGGCUGGAAAAAAAUAAAACUCAGCCCACACUUUAUUAGAAGACAGCAAAAUCCCCCACAAAAAUACCAUUUAUUAAUUUGGAUGUUUCUAUCAUUUCAUUUUGUGGGCUCACUGCACGUUGUAAAAUGCUGUUAUGUCAUAAGCAUUCCGCUGAAGGAAAGAGGACUGAGGGAUGUUGACAUUCAAGAUCACCCAGUAGGUUGUGUUAGGUACAUGUGCUUUGCAAUGUUAUAUCUAACAUUGAAACAUCUGGGUUUUUUUAAAAGACUCUUUCUCCAUCUAUCUGGGCAUGAAUUAUACCCAGACAAUACCUCUUUAGUGAGAACUAGUAGCGGCAAACUUGGGGCUCUCAAAUUUCAGUGGUGCCCUGUGUGAUGCUGAAAUUCAGUCAUGUCCCUGCCCCCUCAUCCUCUUGCACUCCAUUGUUUUGGUGUCCCCUGUAGGGCAAUGCCCAGUGUGUAGUGGUUGCACAGGUGACAGUGCCCUAAAACCACCUCUGGAACUAGGCUUCAAUGCCAGAAUGUUCUUUUUCAAGAGCUCGCUAAUUUUCUAUUAAAUUCAGUAACUAAACAAUUAAAUGACACCUAUCAAGAUUGGAACUGACUUGCCUUUACUCCAAUAUGACUCUUCAGGAGAUGGACUUGGAGGAGUGGUUUUCCAUCCUAAUCCCUAAUCCCUUCAGAGCCAAGGCUACUGAUAGUGAAUGAGUAUGCUGAUAACCAGUGCAAUUUUUCUAGAAAAAGAGGUGCCAGAAUUGCCAUUAACACCUUCCUUGUUCUCUUAUAGACUGACACAGGUGGUGGUGUGGUCUAAACCACUGAGCCUAGGGCUUGCUGAUCGGAAGGUUGGAGGUUCAAAUCCCCACGAUGGGGUGAGCUCCCAUUGCUUAAUCCCAGCUCCUGCCAACCUAGCAGUUCGAAAGCACAUCAAAGUGCAAGUAGAAAAAUAGAUACCGCUCUGGCGGGAAGGUAAACGGCGUUUCCAUGCGCUGCUCUGGUUUCGCCAGAAGUGGCUUAGUCAUUGCUAGCCACAUGACCUGGAAAAACUGUCUGCGGACAAACAUCAGCUCCCUCGGCCAGUAAAGUGAGAUGAGUGCCGCAACCCCAGAGUCAUGUGCGACUGGACUUAACUGUCAGGGGUCCUUUACCUUUACCUUUUUGUUCUCUUAUAAUGACAAUGUGGCCCACCUGAGAGGUGCCAGAACUGAGUUCUGGUGAGUUUUGGCUGAAAAAAAGCCCUGCUGAUAACCCACUUGCUGCCUUCUAAGGUAGAGAAAGGGAAUUUGUCAUUGUGGGUUAGUCACUUAGACAGGAAUGACCAGCUGCACAAACAUAAGAUGGGGGACACCUGGCUUACCAGUAAUACAAGUGAGAAAGAUCUAGGCAUCUUAGCAGAGUACAAGUUUAACAUGAAUCAACAGUGUGAUGCAGCAGCAGCAGCAGCAGCAAAAAAAAAGGGGGGGUGGCUAAUGCUAUUCUAGGCUGCAUCAACAGAAGUCUGGUGUCCCAAUCAAGGGAAAUAAUAGUACUUCUCUAUUCUGCCUUGGUUAGAGUACUAUGUCCAGAUCUGGGCACCAGAACUUAAGAAGAAGCUGACCAAAAUGAGCACACUAAGAUGAGGGUGACCAAAAUGACCAAGGGUCUGGAAACCAAGUCUUAUCCUCAUAAGCCUCUUUUGCAGGCUAAACAUACCCAACUCCCUCAACCCUUCCUCAGCAUUUGAGGAAGUUAGGUUCCCAAAAAUCUUAAGAGCUGUCACAUGUAAGAUGGAGCAAACUUGUUUUCUCCUGUUCCACAGGCAAGGACCUGAAACAAUGGGUUCAAGUUACAAGAAGGGAGAUUCUAGCUAAACAUUGGGGGGGAAAUUUGACAGUGGACAAACUCCCUUAGAAGGUGGUAGUUUUUGGUAGUUUUAAGCAGACGUUGGAUGGUUGUCUGUCAUGGAUGCUUUAGUUGAGAUUCCUGCAUUGUAGUGGGUUGGACUAGCUGGCCCUCUGAGCCCGUUCCAACUCUACUAUUCGUCUAUGAUUCUGGGUGUAGCCUGCUGGCAAAUCAGGAGGGGUUGGGAAGGGGGAGGUAGUCAAUAUAGCUAGGAACCUAUUUUAUUCAGUGCUGACGAAAACCUUAGCUUCAAGAACUCAGUUUCCAUCAAGCCAUGCUAAAAGAAUAAUAAACAAGAAUAAAAAAGGAAAGAAUAAAAACUACUCCAUAGGACUGAGGAAAGGGGAUAAGCUUAUAGAGGACAGUGGUGCCCUAAAGACUCUCAAACAAAACAAAACAAAACAAAACAUUUUCUUGAGGCCCCUUAAAGAUUAAUUUAAGGGUUCCACUUGAAACUGUUGAUUUUGCUGCAACAGCUAUUUAAGAUAUAUACCAAAAAAACUAAGCUCUUAAGCAGAUUGAAUAGAGAUGCCUUGCAGAUGUGAGCCAAUCCUUUUACUGGCAGCAGUGAAUGGGCUAUAUUAUAAUGUACGGUAACUGAGUAGUAUUUUGUUUUGUUUGUCUAAAGUUACUCGUUUUGCAUUUCUAGACCACCUGUCUCAAAAUCUUGAGCAGAAAGCAGAAACACAUAAUGCAGUAAUGGUAUUUGGGGGGCAGGGACUGAUGGGAUAUUUGGCAGUGGCUGGCUCAGUUGCCCAAACUGGAUAGUUGCUCUUCCAUUGCCUGAACUGUGCAUACAUUAGAAGUUCUGCCUAUCCUUGGUUGAGGUUUUCAGUUCCUCAAAGCUCCCAAAAGAGGCUGAGGGAGGAAAAAAACCAAAUUGGCUCAUAAACAACAAGAGUAUCACCUCUUCUUCCUGCAUGUUUUUAUUUCCCUUGUAGAAAUGCUGCUUUUAUCCAAUGUGACAAGCCCUCUGACUCAUAAACAGCUUGUCUAAAGUACGAUAUUGAUACUCAGCAUUAUUUAAGGCAUUUUGGUGUUUCACAAACGCUGUAACCUUCUGUCUGCCAAAUGCUAAACAGAACCGCACAGAGGGGUGUGCAACAUUAUUUUCCACAACUGUCUGAUAUUAUGAGCAUCUCUCCAUGAAAUGGAUGGGGGUCACCUCCAGCAACAUUGUGACAUAUAAUUUAUCAGGCCUCAUGGUGGUGAUACUAAAUUUCUUUAUUCCUCAAUCCUUUAUGAAUGCUCAAAUGCUGUCUUGACCAGUUACAGUUGCAGACCGCCAGUAAAUCUGAGGACAACCAGCUAAAAACAUCAGCAUAAAAUUGGCAAAUCAGAUCAGUGGUUUAGGAAUCCUGGGAAAAAGCAUAGAUCCCUGAAGACUGUCAGACUGAUCACUUUUAUACUGAGAACUAUAACAACAAAAUAACCUAUGUGCAUUCUAAAAGUAUUAUGAUGCCAAAAUAAUAACAGAUGGAAGCAGAUCAAUUUAAAAUGGAGAAAAACACAAUAACACUGGGGUGGCAGAUCAUUUAAAUUAAAAAGGCAGGUGCUUAACUCUCCCUUUGAACAAUUUGACUGGGCCACACUCAAUAUAAUAUAAGUACAUGUUGGCUUUAAUGUGAGUUGAAAAGAGCUUGUGCAUAAAAAACUGGUUGUUGGCUACAUUUGAGACAACAUUUGAGUGUGCGCAAGUUUAGAGCAAAGACAUGAUUUUGCACAUUGCCUUGUCAGUGUGAAUAAUCUCCAAGCAAUGCUGUAGGCAUAGCUGUCAAGUGUCCCUUAUUUGAAGGGACAGUCCUUUAUUCCAGCGCCAUGUCCCGCUGCUGUCCCUUAUUGAUGGAUGUCCCUUAAAUGUCCCUUAAAUGAUGUCCCUUAAAUUUCAAAGGAAGCAGCUCCUCUCCCUCCCUCCCUGCCGGCCAGGGAGGAGGGAGGCUCCAACUGUGUUGCUUGGCUGUGUUGCUCACCCAAUAAGGAGUCUAAGAACGACUGGGGGGGUGGAGCUUGCAUGCCUUGUGUGUGGCUAGUUAAUGCAAGCUGAGGAGGUUUUUGAAUGCUGGACACCAUUUUGUUGCACGUGCUGCUGCAAACUUUGCAGUGCAAAGCCAGGCCGGGGAGCCUUAAGUUGAGGCUGCAUAGGCCUUGUGGUGCAUGUGAUUCAGAUUCUAUUCAGUUGAACCUCUGGUUACAAAGUUGGUUGGACAGUGUUCUCGAAGCUGCCCAGCAUGAGUUUGACCAGACUGCAGGAGGACAGGAAGACUGGAGUGCCUGGAACAGGUGAGGCUGCAGGUCCCUUAUUUUGGCUGCUGGUCCCUUAUUUUCAAGGCUGCUGGUCCCUUAUUUUCAAAUCUGUUAGUUGACAGCUAUGGCUGUAGGAUAUAUGCACUGACCAGCACAUGUGCAAAAUGUCCUGACAGACAAUAUGCACAGUGACCGUGCAAUGCAAGAAUAACCUUAUUCAUCUGUCAGAUUGUGUAUCUUUCCUAAACAUUACAUGGGGACUAUGCAUCCUGACUGGCAAAAUGCAAAACCCUCCAUUGAUGCUGUUAAUUUGUGCACAUUCCCUGCAAUUCCCAGUGAAUGUACAGGAUGGCUGGUAUUUUUGCACAUUCUCUAUUCAUCAUCAUCAUCAUCAUUUUUCUUGUACUAGCCAUUGGCCGUGGUACCUUUAGUACACAAUCUGAAAAUUACUAAUAUAUAGAGAAGACAAUAGAAGUAAACAGUACAAUACAUUAAAGAAUAAACAAUAAGAUGAUUAUAUGAAACAUGUAAUAGGUAAAGGUAAAGGUACCCCUGCCUGUACGGGCCAGUUGUGUCCAACUCUAGGGUUGUGCGCCCAUCUCACUUAAGAGGCCGAGGGCCAGCGCUGUCCGGAGACACUUCCGGGUCACAUGGCCAGCGUGACAAAGCUGCUCUGGCGAGCCGGCACCAGUGCAGCACACGGAAACGCCGUUUACCUUCCUGCUGUAAAGCGGUACCUAUUUAUCUACUUGCACUUAAGGGUGCUUUCGAACUGCUAGGUGGGCAGGAGCUGGGACCGAAAGACGGGAGCUCACCCCGCCGCCGGGAUUCGAACCGCCGACCAUGCGAUCGGCAAGCCCUAGGCGCUGAGGUUUUACCCACAGCGCCACCCGCGUGUAAUACCAUGGAGUAAAACCCAAUUUAAAGUAAAAUUAAACUGAGCACACUCUUAAAACUUCCUACUUUGCACUAGUUCACUUCUGCUUGGAGUUACUUUGUCCCUAAAGCAUGCAGUACUAGUGUCCACCUCUGGAGGUGCACUCCAUUGUCUCUUAAGACAGAAGGAUGUGAACAACCAGUCUAUGAAUAAACAUAUUUUAAGACAAAUAGAUAAUUUCUUGGUCAGAAUAGGUUGGUAACUAGAAAAAAAUAUAUAUUUCUCAAGCAUUUUUCCCUUGGGACAUCAUACAAAGAACAUUGCAGUACAAAGUGGGUUGCAUUCUCCAACUGUUUUAAAUUACAGAUGCAAAUCCUUUGGGAAACCAGUAUCUGUCUGUAUCUGCUGUUCAACAUGGCAGUAGGAAUAGUUCUAAGAAAUUCCUCCAGAGGGAAAACACUGUGUCUUCUCCUAGAUAAUAGAUGUUUGUUGCUUCUUUUGUCUUCUUUGAGCUGGGGUGUNNNNNNNNNNNNNNNNNNNNNNNNNNNNNNNNNNNNNNNNNNNNNNNNNNNNNNNNNNNNNNNNNNNNNNNNNNNNNNNNNNNNNNNNNNNNNNNNNNNNNNNNNNNNNNNNNNNNNNNNNNNNNNNNNNNNNNNNNNNNNNNNNNNNNNNNNNNNNNNNNNNNNNNNNNNNNNNNNNNNNNNNNNNNNNNNNNNNNNNNUGGGAAAUAAUACCAUUGGGGAAAUUUAGAUUGUUGUAACAACCUCAUGUCUUCUGAUGCAUAUAAUCUGUCCCUGAGUCUAAGUGGGCUUGGAAUGUGUAUGUGUGUAUGUCCUUCAUCACACUAGUGAGAUCAAGAUGGAGAAACUGAGAUGGAACUUUUCAUGUCUUGAUCCUUAGCUUUGCUAGGGGCUGGUAACAAAUUUAACAUCCCUUUUCCUUAGCCCAUCCAUUCUGUCCUUAAAAGCGAGUAUUUUCCAUUACAUUUCUCCCACAGCCAUGAAAUAAGUGCACCUGAGAAGAACACUGAUGUGAGAGCAGUUUGAUGGUCUGUUCCUGAAAGCAAGGAUCCAGCAUAAAUGGGGAAUAAUGUCUGUCUGCAGAGAAAGUGAAAAACAAACUGAAUCUGGGUCCCAUUUAUAGUCCCUUCCUCCAUAUAUAAGCCCUCCAUAUACAAGUCGUCGUUCCACAUUCACCUACUUACCAACAUUUUGCUAGUAAUGAAGAAUAUGUGGAAUAUCCAGCUUCAUAUAACCAGCAUUGCUUGGAGGGGUUAAUACCAUAGAGUAAGCUGUUCUGCCUGGCUUAGCUAGGUCACUCCCCCUCACCUUGGUAGGAAGAGUCAUCAAGCCUUUGUUCUUCCAAUUCAGC
Molecule: long non-coding RNA, 8305 nt
Filed under: Podarcis lilfordi (Lilford's wall lizard)
Lineage: Eukaryota; Metazoa; Chordata; Lepidosauria; Squamata; Lacertidae
Source: RNAcentral